UGCAACAUGGUUAUUGUCGAUUACAUUCUGGCUGUCGUGGAUUACAUCGUACCUGUCGUGGAUUUCAUCGUGGUUGUCGUGGAUUACAUCGUGGCUGUCGUGGAUUACGUCAUGGUUGUCGUGGAUUACAUCGUGGCUGUCGUGGAUUACGUCAUGGUUGUCGUGGAUUACAUCGUUGUUGUCGUGGAUUUUGUCAAACUAAUAUUGGGCUAAGGAUUACGUUAAUCUAUGAAUGAAGAACGACGACGAGCAAUGGUGUGAUAAUCAAACGUUAACGUACCGUUCAUAAACUUUGUUGUUUCACUUCAAAAUCUAUUUGACAUUGUGCCACACGAGUUAAAAAACACACGAUAAUUUCAUGGUGGUUUGUUGAAUUAUGAUAUGUAUCAAGAUUUGAGGGAAUCACAAAAGUUAUCAACAGAAUAAAUCCUAACACUACGUGUUGAUUGUCAGAGUAUGUUUCAUCCUAUGAACAAAACCACCUUACACAACACUGCUGGAAGUUUUAAAGAGGCAGUUGGUGCUCAUGACGAUCAAUUUAUAGUCCACGAAUGAAGACCAAAGACGACGUUUAAGGUAGCAAGUUUAUAGUGUUUUAGUUAAAGUCCUGGUGAUCUAUACUAACAGGAAGAUGAUUGAUCAUUGGCUGAGUGAAUAACAAAGUUAGUGAAUAACAAAGAAAUGAGCAUGGGUUUCUUUGAGUUUUGGUCCUGUUUAUUAUCUUGUAUAUUAUACUUCUUAAAACUGAAUCAUAUGUAUAUUUAGUUAUCAAACUA
Xenia sp. Carnegie-2017 is the source of this 776-nucleotide long non-coding RNA. RefSeq lists it as uncharacterized. The transcript has 2 exons. The record is from RefSeq and is a predicted model, not a curated record. NCBI's taxonomy places the organism in Eukaryota, Metazoa, Cnidaria, Anthozoa, Malacalcyonacea, Xeniidae.